Non-coding RNA from Myotis davidii, 129 nucleotides. Lineage: Eukaryota; Metazoa; Chordata; Mammalia; Chiroptera; Vespertilionidae. The record is from Rfam.
CCCUCCGACAAAGGUGUGUCUGUGGGUCCUGUCUUUGGACAUGUAAGAACUGGAGGCAAAGAAAUGGGACUUGGAGAAGUCUGGAGCCAGCUUGCUCCCUGCAGGCUCAAGAUCAGCCAUCCCACAAGG